This 528-nucleotide ribosomal RNA is filed under the name uncultured bacterium. RNAcentral describes it as "bacterial SSU rRNA". It matches the Rfam family "Bacterial small subunit ribosomal RNA", at positions 980 to 1509 of the family's 1533-position model. The record is from RNAcentral.
CUUGACAUCCAGAGAACUUUCCAGAGAUGGAUUGGUGCCUUCGGGAACUCUGAGACAGGUGCUGCAUGGCUGUCGUCAGCUCGUGUUGUGAAAUGUUGGGUUAAGUCCGCAACGAGCGCAACCCCUAUCCUUUGUUGCCAGCGAUUCGGUCGGGAACUCAAAGGAGACUGCCGGUGAUAAACCGGAGGAAGGUGGGGAUGACGUCAAGUCAUCAUGGCCCUUACGAGUAGGGCUACACACGUGCUACAAUGGCGUAUACAAAGAGAAGCGACCUCGCGAGAGCAAGCGGACCUCAUAAAGUACGUCGUAGUCCGGAUUGGAGUCUGCAACUCGACUCCAUGAAGUCGGAAUCGCUAGUAAUCGUAGAUCAGAAUGCUACGGUGAAUACGUUCCCGGGCCUUGUACACACCGCCCGUCACACCAUGGGAGUGGGUUGCAAAAGAAGUAGAUAGCUUAACCUUCGGGAGGGCGUUUACCACUUUGUGAUUCAUGACUGGGGUGAAGUCGUAACAAGGUAAGCGUAGCGAG